CUGAGUCCAUGCUGCCUGUCUGCUUCUGCUCCCAGGACGCAGGCAUAGCAGAGGCCGGGCCCAGAGCAGGCCCAUGUGCACAGCGGACAGACAGGACAGUGAAGGAAGCAGGGAGACAGGAGGCCCGGAAAGACCAGAAUCCAACUCGGGGCUCUCGACUUGGAGGCACACACCUUGACCCGCUGGGCCCUUUUCCUGGUUCCUGGCUGCUCUUUUGAUUUCAACAACACCUGGCAGAGACAGCAUGUGGCUCUUAACUGUAGCCCCAGCACCAAGGAUGCUAAAGCAGGGGACCACGGUGAGUUUAAGGCCAACUGAGCAACAGAAUUCCAGAUCUUUAUGCACUAGAGACCUCGCCUCAGACAAAACAAAACAAAAAAGCAAAUCAAUAAUGGCACAGUGCUCCCGUUUACCCAAAGUUUGACUUUCUUUUCUUGCUUUUUUCAAGACAGGGUUUCUCUGUAUAGCCCUGGCUGUGCUGGACUCACCCAGUAGACCAGCCUGGCCUAGAACUCACAACAGAGAUCUUCCUGCCUCUGCCUCCCUGAGUGCUGGGAUUACGGGCAUGCGACCCCAUCCAUGCCUGGCCAACGUUUGACUUUCUGUAGUCUUGGUUACUGCAGUCUGAAAGUACUGGCAUGUCUGGGUUGUCUUGAAAGGUUCUAUUUAUAAAUGCUUUGUAUCGAACAA
This is a long non-coding RNA of Meriones unguiculatus (Mongolian gerbil), 690 nucleotides long. RefSeq lists it as uncharacterized. NCBI's taxonomy places the organism in Eukaryota, Metazoa, Chordata, Mammalia, Rodentia, Muridae. The transcript has 2 exons. The record is from RefSeq and is a predicted model, not a curated record.